Molecule: unclassified non-coding RNA, 407 nt
Filed under: soil metagenome
Description: partial contains 5.8S ribosomal RNA, internal transcribed spacer 2, and large subunit ribosomal RNA
Rfam family: 5.8S ribosomal RNA (bases 2-119)
Source: RNAcentral
GUGAAGAACGUCGCGAAAUGCGAUAAGUAAUGUGAAUUGCAGAAUUCAGUGAAUCAUCGAAUCUUUGAACGCACCUUGCGCUCCUUGGCAUUCCGAGGAGCAUGCCUGUUUGAGUGUCAUUAAAUUCUCAAGACCUGUCUGCUUUUUUGAUAGGUAUUGGAUUUUGGGGGUUGCAGGCUGUUUCAAAUAAAUAGCCUUGCUCUCCUUGAAUGUAUUAGUGGAGAAAAGCCAUUGAACUCCAUUGGUGUGAUAAAACCUAUCAAUGCCAGGAGCAAUAUCACUACUUCUCUCUGCUGUCUAACUGUGACUGUCUGUAUUAAUUAGUAUGGAUGGGGACAACUUGACCAACUUGACCUCAAAUCAGGUAGGACUACCCGCUGAACUUAAGCAUAUCAAUAAGCGGAGGA